GUCAGGGUGGUGUAGUGGUUUGAAUGUUGGACUACAAUUCUGGAGAUCAGGGUUCGAAUUCCCACUCAGCCA
This is a non-coding RNA of Phrynosoma platyrhinos (Desert horned lizard), 72 nucleotides long. The record is from the annotation of a GenBank genome assembly. NCBI's taxonomy places the organism in Eukaryota, Metazoa, Chordata, Lepidosauria, Squamata, Phrynosomatidae.